This 483-nucleotide ribosomal RNA is filed under the name uncultured bacterium. RNAcentral describes it as "bacterial SSU rRNA". It matches the Rfam family "Bacterial small subunit ribosomal RNA", at positions 30 to 507 of the family's 1533-position model. The record is from RNAcentral.
AUUGAACGCUGGCGGAAUGCUUUACACAUGCAAGUCGAACGGCAGCACGGACUUCGGUCUGGUGGCGAGUGGCGAACGGGUGAGUAAUGUAUCGGAACGUGCCCAGUCGUGGGGGAUAACGUAGUGAAAAUUACGCUAAUACCGCAUACGAUCUAUGGAUGAAAGCGGGGGAUCGCAAGACCUCGCGCGAUUGGAGCGGCCGAUAUCAGAUUAGGUAGUUGGUGGGGUAAAGGCCCACCAAGCCAACGAUCUGUAGCUGGUCUGAGAGGACGACCAGCCACACUGGAACUGAGACACGGUCCAGACUCCUACGGGAGGCAGCAGUGGGGAAUUUUGGACAAUGGGGGCAACCCUGAUCCAGCAAUGCCGCGUGAGUGAAGAAGGCCUUCGGGUUGUAAAACUCUUUUGUCAGGGAAGAAACAGCAGCUCUAAUACAGUUUGCGAAUGACGGUACCUGAAGAAUAAGCACCGGCUAACUACGUG